This 449-nucleotide ribosomal RNA is filed under the name uncultured bacterium. RNAcentral's name for it is "partial 16S ribosomal RNA". It matches the Rfam family "Bacterial small subunit ribosomal RNA", at positions 338 to 795 of the family's 1533-position model. The record is from RNAcentral.
CCUACGGGGUGCAGCAGUGGGGAAUUUUGGACAAUGGGGGCAACCCUGAUCCAGCCAUGCCGCGUGAGUGAAGAAGGCCUUCGGGUUGUAAAGCUCUUUCGGCCGGGAAGAAAUCGCUCAAGCUAAUACCUUGGGUGGAUGACGGUACCGGAAGAAGAAGCACAGGCUAACUACGUGCCAGCAGCCGCGGUAAUACGUACGGUGCGAGUGUUAAUCGGACUUACGGGGCGUACAGCGUGAGCAGGCGGCGAAAUCCCCGGGCUUAACCUGGGAACUGCGUUUUGGACUGUGGUGCUCGAGUGCGGCAGAGGGGGGUGGAAUUCCACGUGUAGCAGUGAAAUGCGUAGAGAUGUGGAGGAACACCGAUGGCGAAGGCAGCCCCCUGGGUCGACACUGACGCUCAUGCACGAAAGCGUGGGGAGCAAACAGGAUUAGAUACCCCAGUAGUC